RNAcentral lists this ribosomal RNA (251 nucleotides) under uncultured bacterium. RNAcentral's name for it is "partial 16S ribosomal RNA". It matches the Rfam family "Bacterial small subunit ribosomal RNA", at positions 524 to 773 of the family's 1533-position model. The record is from RNAcentral.
UACGUAGGGUGCGAGCGUUGUCCGGAAUUAUUGGGCGUAAAGAGCUCGUAGGCGGUGUGUCACGUCGGCCGUGAAAACCUGGGGCUUAACUCUGGGCGUGCGGUCGAUACGGGCAUCACUAGAGUUCGGCAGGGGAGACUGGAAUUCCUGGUGUAGCGGUGAAAUGCGUAGAUAUCUGGAGGAACACCGGUGGCGAAGGCGGCAUCCUGGACCAAUAUUGACGCUGAGGAGCGAAAGCUAGGGGAGCAAAU